Molecule: ribosomal RNA, 427 nt
Filed under: uncultured Hydrogenophaga sp.
Lineage: Bacteria; Pseudomonadati; Pseudomonadota; Betaproteobacteria; Burkholderiales; Comamonadaceae
Description: bacterial SSU rRNA
Rfam family: Bacterial small subunit ribosomal RNA
Source: RNAcentral
UGGGGAAUUUUGGACAAUGGGCGCAAGCCUGAUCCAGCAAUGCCGCGUGCAGGAAGAAGGCCUUCGGGUUGUAAACUGCUUUUGUACGGAACGAAACGGUCCUGGUUAAUACCUGGGGCUAAUGACGGUACCGUAAGAAUAAGCACCGGCUAACUACGUGCCAGCAGCCGCGGUAAUACGUAGGGUGCAAGCGUUAAUCGGAAUUACUGGGCGUAAAGCGUGCGCAGGCGGUUUUGUAAGACAGGCGUGAAAUCCCCGGGCUUAACCUGGGAAUGGCGCUUGUGACUGCAAAGCUGGAGUGCGGCAGAGGGGGAUGGAAUUCCGCGUGUAGCAGUGAAAUGCGUAGAUAUGCGGAGGAACACCGAUGGCGAAGGCAAUCCCCUGGGCCUGCACUGACGCUCAUGCACGAAAGCGUGGGGAGCAAACA